GAUGAACGCUAGCUACAGGCUUAACACAUGCAAGUCGAGGGGUAACGAGAGGGAAGCUUGCUUUCCUUGUCGACGACCGGCGCACGGGUGAGUAACGCGUAUCCAACCUGCCCCCAACUAGGGAAUAACCUUGCGAAAGUAAGACUAAUACCCUAUAAUUUCCUCAGAUGUCAUCUGACGAGGAAUAAAGAUUUAUCGGUUGUGGAUGGGGAUGCGUCUGAUUAGCUUGUUGGCGGGGUAACGGCCCACCAAGGCAACGAUCAGUAGGGGUUCUGAGAGGAAGGUCCCCCACAUUGGAACUGAGACACGGUCCAAACUCCUACGGGAGGCAGCAGGGAGGAAUAUUGGUCAACGGGCGGAAGCCUGAACCAGCCAAGUAGCGUGCAGGAUGACGGCCCUAUGGGUUGUAAACUGCUUUUAUACAGGAAUAAAGUUAGCCACGUGUGGUUAUUUGUAGGUACUGUAUGAAUAAGGACCGGCUAAUUCCGUGCCAGCCGCCGCAGUAA
This 506-nucleotide ribosomal RNA is filed under the name uncultured bacterium. RNAcentral's name for it is "partial 16S ribosomal RNA". It matches the Rfam family "Bacterial small subunit ribosomal RNA", at positions 28 to 523 of the family's 1533-position model. The record is from RNAcentral.